Long non-coding RNA from Rana temporaria (common frog), 634 nucleotides. RefSeq lists it as uncharacterized. The record is from RefSeq and is a predicted model, not a curated record. The transcript is spliced from 4 exons. NCBI's taxonomy places the organism in Eukaryota, Metazoa, Chordata, Amphibia, Anura, Ranidae.
ACGUGUGGGAGGGGCUGAGGGGUAUAUCAGGACUAUGUCCUGUUGUGGAGCGUCAGUGUGCUGUACACUCCUGUGGAGAUAACCCGUGCUGCUGAGAUUGAUUGACCAGCUUGUUACAGAUUUGACAAGCCUUCGGUCUUAAGCUAGGCGUAUGCCUCCACAGAUGCUAUACCUGUUCAUUUAAGCACUUUGGUCACCCUGUCUCUGGGUGCCCCCCCUUGCCCCUCCGAUGGUUGGGGAUUGUGUGAAUUCCAUCUGCAGCGGCCUCUCACCUUUUCCUGCCUAAGUUAUCCUUGUGGCUGGCAACUUGUGCUCAUCCGGCCUGACCUUUCAGGCAUGUGAUGGAACCAGGGUAUAUACGCACCCUGUUGUCUUUUUACUCCCACUACGGACCAGCAGAAUCCUAAACUCUGAUCUCAACCACCCCUGAAGAAGCCUAACCGGGCGAAAUAUAUAGGGUUUACCAACCAGGUUGCGAUCUCUGUUAUAGUACUAAUGUCUGUUAUGGGAACUUUUUAACUUUGUACUCGUGAUCAGGUUGUUGAUUUGUGUAGUAGGCUUUUGUAUAAGUCUAUGAUAUGCCCUACAACCUGACGCCACUCUGUGUUAUUUAAUAAAUCAUUAAAAAUUUAUA